This 1365-nucleotide unclassified non-coding RNA is filed under the name Caenorhabditis elegans. RNAcentral describes it as "Non-coding transcript of protein-coding gene F13B12.4b". Lineage: Eukaryota; Metazoa; Nematoda; Chromadorea; Rhabditida; Rhabditidae. The record is from RNAcentral.
AUUAGUAGUUUCCAUCCUCUUCUUUUAUCCUAAUCAUAAUUAUUUGGCACAUCAGCCAUGAAACUACUUCUUCUGGCUCUGUUUCUGAGCAUAUCCGCAAGUUGCCUUGCAGAAGAUAUAACAAAAAUUUCUGAAAGUCGAAUUCCGAAUGAGGAUGCUGUACCUGAUUAUGAAGCAAAAUGGAGGCUCGGAGCAAUUCAAAAAUUAUGGAAUGAACGACGAAAGAUGGGACACACACCAAUGACAAAAUUCAGUCCCCCUGGUUUCCCGAACGCCGACAUUUUCUUCAAAAAUGAAACUGCCACAGCUACGAGAACGUUGAAGCACAGAUUUGCAUGGGCUCUUCUUCUUUGGGCUAUUACAGAAGGAAAAGUGACUUCAAAAACAUCCGCUGUCUACGACUCAACAUCUGGUAAUACUGGGUCUGCUGAAGCCUACAUGUGUACUUUAGUCAAUGUCCCAUACUAUGCUGUCGUUGCUGAUAAUUUGGAAAAGGAGAAAGUCAAGCAAAUUGAGAGUUUCGGAGGAAAAAUUAUCAAGGUUCCUGUGGCUCUUCGCAAUGCAAAAGCUAAGGAAUUCGCCGACAAAAACCACGGAUUCUACAUGAAUCAAUUUGGAAACGCUGAAAAAGCUGAAGAAUUCCAUGAAAGUGGAGACUUUUAUUUUGAGUCCACAAAUGUCUAUCAUGAAAUUAUUGUUCAACUCAAAAAGGACAAAGAGCAAAUUGUCAAAAUCCCUGACUACUUUGUUCAUUCAGCAGGAACCGGUGGAACUAUUUCGUCAGUUGGCAGAUAUGUCGCUAGAUAUGGAGCACCUACAAAAGUCGUACUCUCCGAUUCUCAAUACUCUUUAUUCUACGAUUAUGUAAUUGGACAUAAAUUCACAAAUCAAUCUGGUGCAGGUAUUUGGACACCUCCAGGGAUUGCUGGAAUUGGUUACGGAUAUGAUAUUGAACCAGUGUGGUACGGAGAAACAACAAGUUUAACAAGAAAUGUAAUCCAUGAAGCCAUGAAAAUGCCUGAUAUUGCAUCAGUAGCUACAAUGAGAAUUCUCGAUGAAAAAGGUUAUAAUGUGGGACCGUCAACAUCACUCAACUUCCUUGUUUCUCUUUACAAAGCCUAUCAGAACAAAGCCAGAAAAUCUGCUAUCAAGCAUCGUCUUACGAUUGUUACACUGGCUUGUGACCCAGGAGAUUUCUACCGUAGUACGUACCUUAACAACGAAUGGGUCGAGAAAAGUUUCAAGAAGUUUGGAGGUGUUAUGGGAAUGGAAUGUUGGAAAAAGCUGAUUCAAGAAUCAAUUGAUACGGGUUCUGAUUUCUAUUCGAAAGGUCUCACUAUGUGUCCAGGAGCUUUUAAAGUUUAA